GAUAAACGCUGGCGGCGUGCCUAAUACAUGCAAGUCGAACGAGGGAUCCUUGUAGCAAUACGGGGAUUUCCUAGUGGCGAAUGGGUGAGUAACGCGUUGGUGACCUGCCCCAAAGAGAGGAAUAACUCCGGGAAACUGGAGCUAAUACCUCAUGUGGUUACGAGAUUUAGAACCUCGUAACUAAAGGAGAGAUCCACUUUGGGAGGGGCCUGCGUCCCAUCAGCUUGUUGGUAGGGUAAUAGCCUACCAAGGCUAAGACGGGUAGGGGACCUAAGAGGGUGACCCCCCACACUGGCACUGAAACACGGGCCAGACACCUACGGGUGGCUG
Molecule: ribosomal RNA, 330 nt
Filed under: uncultured Chloroflexota bacterium
Lineage: Bacteria; Bacillati; Chloroflexota
Description: bacterial SSU rRNA
Rfam family: Bacterial small subunit ribosomal RNA
Source: RNAcentral